CAGCAGCCACGGUAAUACGAAGGGUGCAAGCGUUAAUCGGAAUUACUGGGCGUAAAGCGUGCGUAGGCGGUGAGUUAAGUCUGCUGUGAAAUCCCCGGGCUCAACCUGGGAAUGGCAGUGGAUACUGGCUCGCUAGAGUGUGUCAGAGGAUGGUGGAAUUCCCGGUGUAGCGGUGAAAUGCGUAGAGAUCGGGAGGAACAUCAGUGGCGAAGGCGGCCAUCUGGGACAACACUGACGCUGAGGUACGAAAGCGUGGGGAGCAAACAGGAUUAGAUACCCGCGUAGUCCCUGUCUCUUAUAC
Molecule: ribosomal RNA, 301 nt
Filed under: uncultured bacterium
Lineage: Bacteria
Description: partial 16S ribosomal RNA
Rfam family: Bacterial small subunit ribosomal RNA
Source: RNAcentral